AUUAGUGGCGAACGGGUGAGUAACACGUGGGCAAUCUGCCCUUCACUCUGGGACAAGCCCUGGAAACGGGGUCUAAUACCGGAUAACACUCUGUCCUGCAUGGGAGGGGGUUAAAAGCUCCGGCGGUGAAGGAUGAGCCCGCGGCCUAUCAGCUUGUUGGUGGGGUAAUGGCCUACCAAGGCGACGACGGGUAGCCGGCCUGAGAGGGCGACCGGCCACACUGGGACUGAGACACGGCCCAGACUCCUACGGGAGGCAGCAGUGGGGAAUAUUGCACAAUGGGCGAAAGCCUGAUGCAGCGACGCCGCGUGAGGGAUGACGGCCUUCGGGUUGUAAACCUCUUUCAGCAGGGAAGAAGCGAAAGUGACGGUACCUGCAGAAGAAGCACCGGCUAACUACGUGCCAGCAGCCGCGGUAAUACGUAGGGUGCGAGCGUUGUCCGGAAUUAUUGGGCGUAAAGAGCUCGUAGGCGGCUUGUCACGUCGGAUGUGAAAGCUCGGGGCUUAACCUCGGGUCUGCAUUCGAUACGGGCUAGCUAGAGUGUGGUAGGGGAGAUCGGAAUUCCUGGUGUAGCGGUGAAAUGCGCAGAUAUCAGGAGGAACACCGGUGGCGAAGGCGGAUCUCUGGGCCAUUACUGACGCUGAGGAGCGAAAGCGUGGGGAGCGAACAGGAUUAGAUACCCUGGUAGUCCACGCCGUAAACGUUGGGGAACUAGGUGUUGGCGACAUUUCACGUCGUCGGUGCCGCAGCUAACGCCUUAAGUUUCCCGCCUGGGGAGUACGGCCGCAAGGCUAAAAAUCAAAGGAAUUGACGGGGGCCCGCACCAGCAGCGGAGCAUGUGGCUUAAUUUCGACGCAACGCGAAGAACCUUACCAAGGCUUGACAUAUACCGGAAAGCAUCAGAGAUGGUGCCCCCCUUGUGGUCGGUAUACAGGUGGUGCAUGGCUGUCGUCAGCUCGUGUCGUGAGAUGUUGGGUUAAGUCCCGCAACGAGCGCAACCCUUGUUCUGUGUUGCCAGCAUGCCCUUCGGGGUGAUGGGGACUCACAGGAGACUGCCGGGGUCAACUCGGAGGAAGGUGGGGACGACGUCAAGUCAUCAUGCCCCUUAUGUCUUGGGCUGCACACGUGCUACAAUGGCCGGUACAAUGAGCUGCGAUGCCGCGAGGUGGAGCGAAUCUCAAAAAGCCGGUCUCAGUUCGGAUUGGGGUCUGCAACUCGACCCCAUGAAGUCGGAGUUGCUAGUAAUCGCAGAUCAGCAUUGCUGCGGUGAAUACGUUCCCGGGCCUUGUACACACCGCCCGUCACGUCACGAAAGUCGGUAACACCCGAAGCCGGUGGCCCAACCCCUUGUGGAAGGAAGCUGUCAAAGGUGGAACUGGCAAUGGGAACAAAUUCUUACCAAGG
RNAcentral lists this ribosomal RNA (1404 nucleotides) under Streptomyces sp. Its description in RNAcentral is "bacterial SSU rRNA". It matches the Rfam family "Bacterial small subunit ribosomal RNA". Lineage: Bacteria; Bacillati; Actinomycetota; Actinomycetes; Kitasatosporales; Streptomycetaceae. The record is from RNAcentral.